UAAGAUUAGGAAGAAACAAACAUACAUUAUAAAUCCCAAAAUAUUUAGUGUUCUUAUAUUUUGCUGCUGAGGCAAAAUGAGUGGUUCUCAAAAAGGGUCAAAAAAGAAUGAUCUUGCAGACCUUAUGAGGCAAGAUGAUUCCCAUGAGAGGUCUUCUCAUGCUCCAAGCUCAAAGAAGAGCAUGGAAGAAAGCCUCGCAGAUAAUGCUGGUUAUGGCAGCCAUCAUGAAACCCCAAAACCUUCAAACCCAAGAAAGAGCAAGAAAUCUGAUAUUGCAGACCAUGCAAGGCGACCCUGAAAUUGGGUUUACGCUGAUGGGCGAUUCUAAUUCUGGAAGGAAUAUCAAGCUCUAUGAAGUCUUUUAUUUUAUUUACUUUUUUUUGUAUCUGUUGUUUAAAUAAAUGUAAGUUGCUGUGUCGGGGUUUCUUAAGCAGUUUGGUUGGGGAAAAACAUUAAGAAGUCUAAAACUGUCAACAAUUCUUGUUUGAUGUUUAUCCAUAUUGCCAUCAUCCCUUGUAUAAAUAAAACAAAUUAGUUGAU
Molecule: long non-coding RNA, 540 nt
Organism: Neltuma alba
Lineage: Eukaryota; Viridiplantae; Streptophyta; Magnoliopsida; Fabales; Fabaceae
Exons: 2
Source: RefSeq, a predicted model, not a curated record